UACGGGGGGGGCAAGCGUUGUUCGGAAUUACUGGGCGUAAAGGGCUCGUAGGUGGCCAACUAAGUCAGACGUGAAAUCCCUCGGCUUAACCGGGGAACUGCGUCUGAUACUGGAUGGCUUGAGUUUGGGAGAGGAAUGCGGAAUUCCAGGUGUAGCGGUGAAAUGCGUAGAUAUCUGGAGGAAUACCGGUGGCGAAGGCGGCAUCCUGGACCAUUACUGACGCUGAGGCGCGAAAGCUAGGGGAGCAAACGGG
RNAcentral lists this ribosomal RNA (253 nucleotides) under uncultured bacterium. Its description in RNAcentral is "partial 16S ribosomal RNA". It matches the Rfam family "Bacterial small subunit ribosomal RNA", at positions 524 to 776 of the family's 1533-position model. The record is from RNAcentral.